CCAAAUUUGGUUAUCGAGCAGCGGCACCCAUAAGCAAGUCUAACAAGGAAAUAAUAACAAAAAAAAAGUCGAACUGUGUAUAUACAGUAUCAUAUAUACGUUAAUUUGAAAAUAAAUAUAAAUACGUCAAGGCAUUCCAACCAGGUAUGCCCAGUAAUCUCGCGUUUCAACAACAACAAAACAAGAAACGACUCCGUGCACCAAUUAUCUAAGUAGCCAUGACGAUAGCUGCAAAGUAACAAUGGUACCAUUGUGAAGUGACUGUGGUCGUAUGUAGAACAUUGUAUGGUGCAGGGCUACAGUUGUUUAGGUAUCAAUGGUAAAAAUGAAGUUUCACGAACAGGAAGCCUACCAGUAGUAUGGUAUGCAUGCAACUGUAGUACCGGUAGUCAUAAAUAAUUUAACCUUUUAUGGUAAGAAAAUUGAACUUCAGUGUGUAACUGGAAGGCACAUGAUCAAUGAAUAAAUGGUAUUCUACAAGAUCAAGGUAGGAUAAAAUUUCAUGUGGAACUAACCACUUCAUACAGAACAUGGAAAAAGCAAAGGUACUCUGGAUCACUGGAUCAAGUCGACAGUGGAGCUGGCAAUGGCGAAGAAAGUUCUGGAUCCACUUUAAUCGGAUGAAAAGGCAGCAGAAUGUGUUCACCUUGUCUUGGAGAAUACUCGGAUCUUUUGCACUGUAGAGCAGGCAAGCAUCAUCAGCAAACAAUUUGCUCAAGAAAUUGGAGCAGUUAGACAGAUCAUUUAU
Molecule: non-coding RNA, 748 nt
Organism: Styela clava
Lineage: Eukaryota; Metazoa; Chordata; Ascidiacea; Stolidobranchia; Styelidae
Source: RefSeq, a predicted model, not a curated record